UUUCCGUAGGUGAACCUGCGGAAGGAUCAUUACUGAGCGAGGGCCCUCUGGGUCCAACCUCCCACCCGUGUUUAUUGUACCUUGUUGCUUCGGUGAGCCCGCCUCACGGCCGCCGGGGGGCAUCUGCCCCCGGGCCCGCGCUCGCCGAAGGCACCCUUGAACUCUGUCUGAAGUUUGCAGUCUGAGCGAAAACUAAAUAAGUUAAAACUUUCAACAACGGAUCUCUUGGUUCCG
This 234-nucleotide unclassified non-coding RNA is filed under the name plant metagenome. Its description in RNAcentral is "partial contains small subunit ribosomal RNA, internal transcribed spacer 1, and 5.8S ribosomal RNA". The record is from RNAcentral.